GUGCUUGCAUCGGCAGCACAUCCACUAAAGUUGAGAUGAUGCAGAUAUUAGCAUGGCCCCUGCACAAGGAUGACAUGCAAAUUCGCGAAGCGUUCCUUAUUUUU
Small nuclear RNA from Myotis lucifugus (little brown bat), 104 nucleotides. The record is from Ensembl. NCBI's taxonomy places the organism in Eukaryota, Metazoa, Chordata, Mammalia, Chiroptera, Vespertilionidae.